AAGCAUGGAUUGCAAAAUCGUUUGCAUGCCCCGAGGUGACCAACUUAAAACAGGUGACUCGUUUUGGAAGCAAAACAAACACAAGAAGGGGAUUUGGGUUGCAGGCAGCUGUGGAUCCUGCACGCUCAGCUGGUGACGCACAAAGAAACAGGUGACGGCGUCGGGAUGUUUGCCCUGCAAGGGUGCCACCACGUGCUUCUUUCCCCUGGAACAAGCUCUCUCGGUAAAAUCUGCACCUGGCCUGGUGGUCUUGGCAACAUCGGACAACCUCUAGCAGAUGUUCGCCUCUCUUUUGUCGAUGACUUCGCGGUGGCUGCUCCGCGAGACAAAACUGCGGAUCAUCUCAUGGGUUCCUCGGCUGCAGAGAUCGUACGUGAUGAAGCUUUACUCAGUCACCAGAUCCGGGAUGAAAGUUACCCUUUGGCUGUGUGACAGACAGGAAGAAAAGGACACUCACGCUAGUGUGAAGGCAUAUGAAAUGGUUUCGCAGCCAGCCAAACUUCCUGAAUCCUCUUCUAUGGAGAGAUGCCAAACCACAGAAGAGAGAAUAAGGGUAGCCAGGAAGAAGAGAAAGAAGGAGCUGAAAGAGAAAGAUAGAGACAGUCUUUGAAGGUAAAACUGUGCUGUUAUGGCAUCAGAGGGUGAAGAGGAAGCAAAGGCUAUAAUCACUACAAUUACCCACCGCUCUCACCUAGACCAGCACUCCUCAGCUCUCUCUUAAAUACAGUCACUCACUCACCCUCUGUGUCUUGUCAUUCUGAAACACUCUUUACACACAAUUUUGAACUAAAAGGUACCAGUUACGCAAGUUCAAAUCUUGUGAAACUGCCAUUUAGCAAAAUCGAGGUUGUCUCACUUUAAACGACCAGCAGAAAUUGAUAAUGGGGAGCAGAUGUAAGAAAAAAAGACUUGCUGCACCAUAACAUCCCUCUGACAGCUGUCUCAAAAAAAGACAGAUGUAACAUACACAGUGUGAGAUGCUAUUGAAAACUAAGAGUAAACUGCAAAAUAUAUAUAUAUAUAUAUAUAUAUACAUGUUCAAUAACAACAGCAAUAAUAUAACAACAUACUUUAUUAUAAUUAUAAUUAUUGAAAUCAUACAGUAAAUGAAUGCUGUCAUGAACCUUACUUCUCCCCAUCCAUAACACUAAACCUCUAACCAUACUGAACCUGCGGAUCAGUAAAUGCUUCCUUGAAGGUCCAGGAAGGGAACAACAGUUUCACUCACAGCCAAUAGUCC
Long non-coding RNA from Cyprinus carpio (common carp), 1240 nucleotides. The record is from Ensembl. NCBI's taxonomy places the organism in Eukaryota, Metazoa, Chordata, Actinopteri, Cypriniformes, Cyprinidae.